Molecule: ribosomal RNA, 1447 nt
Filed under: uncultured organism
Description: 16S ribosomal RNA
Rfam family: Bacterial small subunit ribosomal RNA
Source: RNAcentral
GAUGAACGCUGGCGGCGUGCCUAACACAUGCAAGUCGAACGAAGCAAUUAAAUGAAGAUUUUCAGAUAGGAAUUUGAUUGACUGAGUGGCGGACGGGUGAGUAACGCGUGGAUAACCUGCCUCACACUGGGGGAUAACAGUUAGAAAUGACUGCUAAUACCACAUAAGCGCACAGUACCACAUGGUACUGUGUGAAAAACUCAUGUGGUAUGAGAUGGAUCCGCGUCUGAUUAGCCACCUGGCGGACUAACGGCCCACCAAAGCAACGAUCAAUAACCCACCUGAGAAGGUGACCGGCCACAUUGGGACUGAGACACGGCCCAAACUCCUACAGGAGACAACGGUGGAAAAUAUUGCACAAUGAGGCAAAGCCUGAUGCAACGACGCCCCGUGAGUGAAGAAGUAUUUCCGUAUGAAAAGCUCUAUCAGCAAGGAACAAAAUGACGGUACCUGACUAAGAAACCCCGGCUAACUACAUGCCAGCAGCCGCGGUAAUACGUAUAGGGGCAAGCGUUAUCCGGAUUUACUGGUUGUAAAGGGAGCGUAUACGGCGAAGCAUGUCUGAAAUGAAAACCCAAUGCUCAACCCUGGGACUGCUUUGGAAACUGUUAUGCUAGAAUGACAGAGAGGUAAAUGGAAUCCCUAUUGUACCGGUGAAAUGCAUAUAUAUUAAGAGGAACACCAGUGGCAAAGGCGACUUACUGCACGAUAACUGACAUUGACGCUCGAAAGCGAGAGGAGCAAACACGAUUAGAUACCCUGACAGUCCACGCCGAAAACCAUGAAUGCUAGGUGUUGGGGGGGCAAAGCCAUUCGGUGCCGUCGCAACAUGCAGUAAGCAUUCCACCUGGGGAGUGCGUUGGCAAGAAUGAAACUCAAAGGAAUUGACGGGGACCCGCACAAGCGGUGGAGCAUGUGAUUUAAUUCGAAGCAACGAGAAGAACCUUACCAAGUCUUGACAUCUUUUUGAGGCGGGGAGUAACGGCGCAUUGCCUUCGGGGCAAGAGAGACAGGUGGCGCAUGGUUGUCGUCAGCUUGUGUAGUGAGAUGUUGGGGUAAGUCGCGCAACGAGCGCAACCCUUAUCCUUAGUAGUCCAGCAGGUAGAGGUGGGCACUCUAGAGAGAGUGCCAGGGAUAACCUGGAGGAAGGUGGGGAGGAGGUCAAAUCUUCAUGCCCCUUAUGAUUUGGGGUACACACGUGUUACAAUGGGGUAAGCAAAGGGAAGCAAGACAGUGAGGGGGAGCAAAUCCCAAAAAUAACGUCUCAGUUUGGACUGUAGUGUGCAACCCGAGUACACGAAGCUUGAAUCGCUAGUAAUCUCGAAUCAGAAAGUCGCGGUGAAUACGUUCCCGGGUGUUGUACACACCGCCCGUCACACCAUGGGAGUCAGCAAUGCCCGAAGUCAGUGACCUAACUCGCAAGAGAGGGAGCUCCCGAAGGCAGGAC